AUAAUGGUGUCUUUAGACACCACCUGUAUCUUCAAAAAAAUGUGUU
This is a non-coding RNA of Picea glauca (white spruce), 46 nucleotides long. Lineage: Eukaryota; Viridiplantae; Streptophyta; Pinopsida; Pinales; Pinaceae. The record is from Rfam.